CGUGUAGGUGGUCACCCCAGUCGGAUGUGAAAGCCCAGGGCUCAACCCUGGACGUGCAUACGAUACUAGGUGGCUGGAGUCUCGGAGAGGAUAGCGGAAUUCCCGGUGUAGAGGUGAAAUUCGUAGAUAUCGGGAGGAACACCAGUGGCGAAGGCGGCUAUCUGGACGAGUACUGACACUGAGACGCGAAAGCAUGGGGAGCAAACA
This 207-nucleotide ribosomal RNA is filed under the name uncultured bacterium. RNAcentral describes it as "partial 16S ribosomal RNA". It matches the Rfam family "Bacterial small subunit ribosomal RNA", at positions 568 to 774 of the family's 1533-position model. The record is from RNAcentral.